ACAAUUGAUUAAUCAAUUAAUUAAUAAAUGUCCAAGAUCAUGAAGAUGAAGAGUUUGGCUUUGAUGAUCUUGCUGCAGUCUGUUUUGAUGGUUAUCUUGCUCCUUUCUCUAGCCACUGCAGCAAGAGAGUUCCCUUCCUCUCAUGAUCAUGGUGAAGGAAUUCAGGGACGAGAAUUGGCUAAUCUAGACUCAGAUGGUCCAUGGGGUCACGGUUAUAUCCAUGAUUAAUAAUGUUAGAAUAUUGAAGUCUCAUCAUGCACCUUCUCCAAAUGUCUUUUGUAUAUUAUAAACUUUAAUUUUCAUGUGGCAGCAUCCUGUCAUGUGUAAUUAAACAUCUAUCCUUUAAUGCAUAAGUAAUGUGUUAAUGUGUUAUGUAUUAUGAUAUUUGAAAUUAUUUAUGGUGAUUGAAUAGUUAAGUUAUGUAUAUGUAACUCAUUAAGUUAGCAAAUUCA
Long non-coding RNA from Impatiens glandulifera, 452 nucleotides. RefSeq lists it as uncharacterized. The record is from RefSeq and is a predicted model, not a curated record. NCBI's taxonomy places the organism in Eukaryota, Viridiplantae, Streptophyta, Magnoliopsida, Ericales, Balsaminaceae. The transcript is spliced from 2 exons.